This 339-nucleotide long non-coding RNA is filed under the name Anas platyrhynchos platyrhynchos (common mallard). RNAcentral describes it as "lncRNA (ENSAPLG00000027091.1)". The record is from RNAcentral. Lineage: Eukaryota; Metazoa; Chordata; Aves; Anseriformes; Anatidae.
AGAACAUGCACCCAGGAGAUGCAAAGGAAGAUAAAGGAACUGGAAGGAAGGACAUCUCAUGCAGAGGAGAGGAAGAAACACCAGGAACAGAUGAACAUGCUUGUCUGGGGUUUGUCCUGUCAUAAACACUUGAAGUAGGUGUGGAGAGGGGGGAGUUAUUUCAGCAGGAACCUUGCUGUUGAGAGACACCAUGACUUGUUUACAGUGCUGGUCCUGAAGGCAGCCAGGAGCUGCGGGAGUCAGACAGGCAGCAACAUUACAGAUUAAAGAAGUAAUUACAAGAUAGAAUAUAACACUAAAAAAGAAAAAAAAAAAAAAAAAAAAAAAAAAAAAAGACAA